RNAcentral lists this ribosomal RNA (709 nucleotides) under uncultured bacterium. RNAcentral describes it as "bacterial SSU rRNA". It matches the Rfam family "Bacterial small subunit ribosomal RNA", at positions 56 to 765 of the family's 1533-position model. The record is from RNAcentral.
UGCAAGUCGAACGAAGCACUUAUCUUUGAUUCUUCGGAUGAAGAGGUUUGUGACUGAGUGGCGGACGGGUGAGUAACGCGUGGGUAACCUGCCUCAUACAGGGGAAUAACAGUUAGAAAUGACUGCUAAUACCGCAUAAGACCACGGAGCCGCAUGGCUCCGUGGGAAAAACUCCGGUGGUAUGAGAUGGACCCGCGUCUGAUUAGGUAGUUGGUGGGGUAACGGCCUACCAAGCCAACGAUCAGUAGCCGACCUGAGAGGGUGACCGGCCACAUUGGGACUGAGACACGGCCCAAACUCCUACGGGAGGCAGCAGUGGGGAAUAUUGCACAAUGGGGGAAACCCUGAUGCAGCGACGCCGCGUGAGCGAAGAAGUAUUUCGGUAUGUAAAGCUCUAUCAGCAGGGAAGAAAAUGACGGUACCUGACUAAGAAGCACCGGCUAAAUACGUGCCAGCAGCCGCGGUAAUACGUAUGGUGCAAGCGUUAUCCGGAUUUACUGGGUGUAAAGGGAGCGUAGACGGCUGUGUAGGUCUGAAGUGAAAGCCCGGGGCUCAACCCCGGGACUGCUUUGGAAACUAUGCAGCUAGAGUGUCGGAGAGGUAAGUGGAAUUCCCAGUGUAGCGGUGAAAUGCGUAGAUAUUGGGAGGAACACCAGUGGCGAAGGCGGCUUACUGGACGAUGACUGACGUUGAGGCUCGAAAGCGUGGG